UGGGAUGAUAUGUCUUCAAACCAGGGUGAC
RNAcentral lists this non-coding RNA (30 nucleotides) under Homo sapiens (human). Lineage: Eukaryota; Metazoa; Chordata; Mammalia; Primates; Hominidae. The record is from RNAcentral.